GACGAACGCUGGCGGCGUGCUUAAUACAUGCAAGUCGAACGGAAAGGCCCUGCUUUUGUGGGGUGCUCGAGUGGCGAACGGGUGAGUAACACGUGAGUAACAUGCCCUUGACUUUGGGAUAACUUCAGGAAACUGGGGCUAAUACCGGAUAGGAGCUCCUGCUGCAUGGGGGGGGUUGGAAAGUUUCGGCGGUUGGGGAUGGACUCGAGGCUUAUCAGCUUGUUGGUGGGGUAGUGGCUUACCAAGGCUUCGAAGGGUAGCCGGCCUGAGAGGGUUACCGGCCACAAUGGGACUGAGAGACGGCCCAGACUCCUACGGGAGGCAGCAGUCGGGAAUAUUGCACAAUGGGCGGAAGCCUGAUGCAGCAACGCCCCGUGCGGGAUGACGGCCUUCGGGUUGUAAACCGCUUUCGCCUGUGACGAAGCGUGCGUGACGGUAAUGAGUAAAGAAGCACCGGCUAACUACGUG
This 468-nucleotide ribosomal RNA is filed under the name uncultured bacterium. RNAcentral's name for it is "partial 16S ribosomal RNA". It matches the Rfam family "Bacterial small subunit ribosomal RNA", at positions 28 to 507 of the family's 1533-position model. The record is from RNAcentral.